UACGGAGGAUGCGAGCGUUAUCCGGAUUUAUUGGGUUUAAAGGGUGCGUAGGCGGCUUUUUAAGUCAGCGGUGAAAUUUUGCAGCUUAACUGUAACAGUGCCGUUGAUACUGGGGAGCUAGGAUUUGGUUGCUGUUGGUGGAAUGUGUGGUGUAGCGGUGAAAUGCUUAGAGAUCACACAGAAUAUCGAUUGCGAAGGCAGCUCACAACGCCAAGAUUGACGCUUAGGCACGAAAGUGUGGGGAUCAAACAGGAUUAGA
This 259-nucleotide ribosomal RNA is filed under the name uncultured prokaryote. Its description in RNAcentral is "partial 16S ribosomal RNA". It matches the Rfam family "Bacterial small subunit ribosomal RNA", at positions 524 to 782 of the family's 1533-position model. The record is from RNAcentral.